Molecule: unclassified non-coding RNA, 532 nt
Filed under: Hevea brasiliensis (rubber tree)
Lineage: Eukaryota; Viridiplantae; Streptophyta; Magnoliopsida; Malpighiales; Euphorbiaceae
Source: RNAcentral
GAGGCGCGCCUUUGAUAACAGUGGCCUUUAGUGAUGUAAUUCAUGGUUUUAUUUCUUUAAAUGGUGGUGCUUACACUUCAAGUUAGAGGCAUUUAGUUAAUGCAUUGUGCAUUUCUUUGUGUGCCUAUAUGAUUUUAGUUCAAAGACAAGCAAUGUAUCCUUCCAUUUUUUAUGCAUUUUUUUAGUCCUUUUGGAUUUUUUAUUUUUUGUGAAUUGGUUAGAAGGGUAAUCACUUGUGGGCUUUGGUAAGGGGGGAUGUAUGCAGCUUUACCCUUCUUUACCCCUCUUUGCAGAGAGGUUGUUUCCUUGACUCGAACGUGUGACCUUCAAGUCACAAGAAGAGUAACUUUACCAUUACGCCUAACCCAUCCUCUAUUUUUGAAUUGGUUGUUGCACUAAACCUUUUUCAUUGUUACUGCAUGGAGUAGAAUAUGUAUUAGAACAAACGAGGCAUCCUUUAUAACAACUCACAUCUUUUAUGAAUUUUUGUUGCGUUCAUUUUUAAUUAACAGGGCUUUGAUGAGUACAUGAA